GAUGAACGCUGGCGGCGUGCCUAAUACAUGCAAGUCGAGCGAACAGACGAGGAGCUUGCUCCUCUGACGUUAGCGGCGGACGGGUGAGUAACACGUGGAUAACCUAUCUAUAAGACUGGGAUAACUUCGGGAAACCGGAGCUAAUACCGGAUAAUAUAUUGAACCGCAUGGUUCAUUAGUGAAAGACGGUUUUGCUGUCACUUAUAGAUGGAUCCGCGCCGCAUUAGCUAGUUGGUAAGGUAACGGCUUACCAAGGCAACGAUGCGUAGCCGACCUGAGAGGGUGAUCGGCCACACUGGAACUGAGACACGGUCCAGACUCCUACGGGAGGCAGCAGUAGGGAAUCUUCCGCAAUGGGCGAAAGCCUGACGGAGCAACGCCGCGUGAGUGAUGAAGGUCUUCGGAUCGUAAAGCUCUGUUAUUAGGGAAGAACAAAUGUGUAAGUAACUAUGCACGUCUUGACGGUACCUAAUCAGAAAGCCACGGCUAACUACGUG
This 497-nucleotide ribosomal RNA is filed under the name uncultured bacterium. Its description in RNAcentral is "partial 16S ribosomal RNA". It matches the Rfam family "Bacterial small subunit ribosomal RNA", at positions 28 to 507 of the family's 1533-position model. The record is from RNAcentral.